AACGAACGUGGCGGCGUGGAUUAGGCAUGCAAGUCGAACGAAUCCCAGGGGGCUUGCUCUCUGGGGGAAGUGGCGAAAGGGGCAGUAAGGCGUGGGUAACCUACCCCGGGGACGGGGAUAGCCCUCCUAACGGAGGGGUAAUACCUGGCGAUUUGACGAGGGGGCAUCCCUUUGUCAAGAAAUGAGUUUCGCCUCGGGAGGGGCUCACGUAGUAUUAGCUUGUUGGUGAGGUAACGGCUCACCAAGGCCAAGAUGCUUAGCGGGUGUGAGAGCACGACCCGCGCCACUGGCACUGUGACACUGGCCAGACUCCUACGGGAGGCUGCAGUCGAGGAUCUUCGGCAAUGGGCGCAAGCCUGACCGAGCGACGCCGCGUGUGCGAUGAAGGCCUUCGGGUUGUAAAGCACUGUCGAGAGAAAGAAAGCCGCAAGGUUGAUCGAUCUCUGGAGGAAGCACGGGCUAAGUUCGUGCCAGCAGCCGCGGUAAGACGAACCGUGCGAACGUUGUUCGGAUUCACUGGGCUUAAAGGGCGCGUAGGCGGGUGAUCAAGUCCGGGGUGAAAUCCUCCAGCUUAACUGGAGAAUAGCCCUGGAUACUGGUC
RNAcentral lists this ribosomal RNA (601 nucleotides) under uncultured bacterium. Its description in RNAcentral is "bacterial SSU rRNA". It matches the Rfam family "Bacterial small subunit ribosomal RNA", at positions 28 to 638 of the family's 1533-position model. The record is from RNAcentral.